UGUUUCAACGAUUUUGUCAAAAAAAAUCCAAAAACUCUUAAGUUUAUCGGUAAAAUAAUGUGGAACUAUUUGUCGGCGCGGCGCGUAGGAAUCCGGAUACCCGACACGCUAUCGCUAUAAAUAACCUGCGGGGCGUACGAAGGUCGUUUAGUCGUGCGGCCGUCGUUUAGCUGAAAGCUCUUCAUGUUAUUGCGUCUCUAGAAUCCCAUUUCAUUCUAGAACGUUCAGUAGUGAUCGUGUGAAAUAAGUGUUCCUGUACUUCCAGCCUUGCAAGACGACUCCUCGACACAGUUAUUGAGAUUGCGACUGUCCAGCAGGCCUUUCCAAGGAAUCGCUGCUAAACUUGAGGGUCUGCAAGUGAAUAAGUCACUCUAUCCUUGAAAGUGUGUGUGUCGUAGGCAUCAUGCAGAGGGUUUCGCCUUUGGUCGAAUAUAUUGCCCAGAAGCAUCUGUCUUGUGACAGAGAGCUUUGGACGAGGAAGCUGCUCGAUACUGGUCACCUUGGUGCUGGUAUUGACAAGUUUGGUUGACAGCUUUGCCAAUACCAUGAUAAUCUCCGAAACUUCCUGAAUGCAACCAAGUACAGAAAAUCCUGGAUAGUGCAAGACCCACUUGAAACUUAUCCCUUGAAAUGACUGACUGAUCCAUUGCAAUCAAAUGAUAAACUUAGGGUUACUAGUCCACAGCACUCAAAACGUCUGUUCGUUUUCUCGUGGUUAGUUUUGAAGACCUUCCUUGGCCGUUACGUAAGGUGUGGCAUAAAGUAGGUCAAACUUAACGUUUGAGAUGAAAAUUCAUUAAUAAAGCUGACAAUUGACAUUCAUAAUACCAUAUUUACCAAUUUACUUUCUGCACCUGAAAUCUAUGCUCUCUACUGGAGUCCAAAUGUUGGCACCAGGUGGAAUUGGGACAGCUUUUCAGUUUCUGGUGGUAUUGAAGGGUUCAGACAACUCUAGAAAAUACCAUGAGAUCAUAUGAUGUGCCUUAACAAGAAAAUUAAUUUACACAUAGCACCAUUACUUUAUUUUCCAUUUUUUUUAUAUCCAUAAGUCUAACUGAAAAAGCACCUAUUCAAAUAAUAGAUUGCUGAGAUUAUUCCACUAGGGAAAGGAGGAACGGGGUCUCUUGUCAGGUCUGACGAAUGACAUUGAGGUGAUGUUUUCAAGCCAAUGCUGUCAUAAUGAUGCAUUGUUAACUUGACUGCAGAAAGUCCUGACGUGCAACAGUUAUUAACUUCCUUAAAAAAUGCUGGUAAACCCAAAAGGUUUGAAUUAUAAGAAAUUGUUUUUGUGGACACAAUUCCAAUCUUAAUGAUUUUAUUAAACCUGAUAAGAAGUUUAAAAUUCUAAGCUGUUGUGCCAAGCAGCAGGAAUUUUGGCACUUUCAGUUUCCACUGGUAUUGAAGAGUUCAGUCGACAACUCUAGAAAAUACCAUGGGAUUUUUGUAUGCACAUCCAGACAAUUUGCAUCAUCUGAUUCUUGUUCAGUUUUGUUUGUAUUCCUGGAUUUGGUGGCAUCUAGUUUGGUUCUACUCCAAAAUAGAGCUGUUGGAGUAUCUGUACUGGGAUUCAGCGGGUUCUUGAGGCAUCAACACUGAUGUGGAAGGAUUUGCAGCCAUUAAUGGAAAGAAGACAUUAGUGGAUUUUUUUAAUAAUUUUUUUAAAAUGCUCAUUUUUUUUUUAAAUAUAAAUUGCAAUUGCAAGAAAUUGAAGAAAGGAAAAGUGAAAAAAGAAGCACACUAGUGAAUAAACUAAAUAAAUUUAAUUUAAUUAUAAUAUUGAAUUUAAAAAAAAAAUAUAUAAAUAGUGAGUGAAAGAAAACUGAUUCAAGAGGUGCGGUAAGAAGAGGAGUAUAAAGCCUUACAAGCAAUAGUUUUUGAAAAUUAAAAUGAUUAUUUUCAGUGGCUUAGGUUACAAAAGAUCUUCCAAGAAACUUCAUAUUUGCUUCCAAUAUUUUAAAUUGGGCAUUCGAGACCCUUGCAUACAUUAAAUUUAUUUGCACCUGAAAUGAAGAAGAAAAAAGAAGAUUAAAUAAAUGUAGAGAUAAUACUUACCUUAAUACACACUUGACAAGAACAUCAUUCAUAAAAGGUACAAUAUAUACGUUUUUGGUUUUCGACACAAGAUGUUUUUCAGAAGACCUUCAUAAGAAAACUAGAACAAAAGAAAAACCCUUGUGACCCUAGGAAUUCAUUCAGUAAGAAUCAUUUUCUUUCUUGUUUGGAUAAAGUUUAUUUAUAGAUCAGUCGGCUCCACAAAGAGAAACUGGAAUGUUACUAUAGGACAAGAAAUAUCAGCACAAAUAGAUGGGGAUUUUUAUCUAUGUAAAAAAUCUAAUAUAUGUCCAAUUUUGGUAUAAAUAUGAGGAAUAUCAACUUAGUACCUUGCAACAUUUUAUAGAACCUAUUACUGAUUGUGGUUUUUCAGGAUUCACUGCUCUCGUUUGCUUCCUAUUAAAAGUUUAGCCCUUUAUACAAGGUAUGACUGCACAGUUUCUCUUCAAAAUGACAAUUUUUUUUCAGAAAACCCUAUAGAUUUAUACUAUCCAUCUAGUUCAUGUAACCUUUGAGUUCAAUUCUAUCUAGUUAACCUGGAAUGCUCCCCAAAAAACAGUAAGAAUUUUUAUCUUGUUUUUGGAAAAAUUAAUCUUUUAUAGAUCAAUCACCUUGGGAGACACUGCAAAAUUGACUCAAUUCAAGGGACCCAAAAGAGUUUUCAUUUGUUAGGGACAAAAAACCUCUUUUCCAGAUUCAUGUUGCAAAGAGAUUUGACAGAAAAACUUUCCCUCAAUUAUUUAUUUACUUCAAACGAGUUUAUAGAAGGUAAAAUUUAGUUUAUUUGUUGCAACAAAAAGGUGCUUUUUAGGACGUUAGGACUUCACAAUCAGAAGUGGGAUUUUAAAAAAAAAUGUCCAUACCCUUGAGCAACAUUCUUCAGAGUAAGACAACUUUUUUUCCAAAAGAAAUUAGGUUUUUUUUUAGAAUAUCUACAUUAGGAAAAUAAGCCUCGGUUCUUGGAAUGAGUCAAAUUAAUCUUUUUGUUCAAAAUUUUAAUAUAAAACGUUUAGGCCAGUAGGAACCUUUCCAUCCAAAAGUGGGGGAUGUAAUAAAGUAAGAUAUCUGCACUUGUUUAGAAAAUGUUGGGUUCUUUUUAGGAAAUUCUGUUACUGACCAGAAAACAGCUGACACCGUAAAGAGCACAGCUUUGCAUUGUUGAAAAUUAACAAUUUUUUUCAGAUAAAACGCUUUUUUUUUUGACGUACUGAUUGCACUUAAAUUAGACUACAGACAGCUUAUGUAAGUCUUGAAAGUUUGUGUGGCAUCAAAAAUUAGUCCGUUUUAGGUUUGCAAUUUCUUUUCCUGGAUGUUGUGGACUUUGCUUGUAUUCUGUUAAAAGUGUAAGCAUAAUGGUUGGUUUAUUGGUAUGCAUUGCUAGUUUUUUCCCUUGUUAUUUGAAAAAAAAAAUUAUUUUACAGGACACAUUGAGAGAACCUUACAAAGACCGUAAGCUCGUUAAUCAUUUUACGAAACAAAAAAAUUGUAUUUUUUAGGCAUUAACCCCAAUAGUAUUUUCAAAGGGUGUCCCUUAGCAAAUCGUUUCUCAGGAUUUUUUUAAAAUAUUCAACUGUUGAGUAAGAACAAUUUUUUUCCCUUGAAAACUAGAUUUUUUUAGCUUCAUAUCAGUCACAGGAUGUGCAAAGAGUUUAAAAAAAUGCAGUAAUACUAUCACCACUUGAAUGACUUCUGUUUAAAAGAAAAAGCAGUAAGAAAAACCUCUAUUUUCCAAACCUAAUGCUGUUUUUUAGAAAACUGGGAACCCUGUAGUUUUGACUCUUCUAAAUGUCCUACUUAGUUUUAUUUGGAAAAGUAAGUCUCACGGAUUGACCAGGAUCUUAAGACCCCGAAAACCCAGGGGCCCAAACUGGGAACCAGGGAUCGCAUAUACAAUUUGGACCUUGAAGUACUGGCAGAGUCAGUUAAGAAGGCUAUCAGAGAUGUGUUAGAGAAAAGAAGUGUCCCCUAAGCAAACCAUGUCGGAGACCACCUGGUGGAACCAAGAACUGAGUUAAUUUAGGUGGACUGAGGAAAUGAGCAACUGGGGAAUGAAUCAUUAUAGACGAAGCUUAACCAGAUACAAUGAUGCCAUAAAAAAAGGAAAAGGAAAAUGUUGGAUGGAGGAAACUAUGCAGGGACUUAAUUGAGAUACUAGCAUAUGAAAGACUCCACAAGGCAAUAAAUAGGCUGCAACAAGACCCCUUGGUUCUUCUAUAAAUUCUAAUGGAGUAUUCUAUGACAACCUAGGAGGAAACGUAAUGGGGUCGCAAAAAAGCCAAUUGAAAGCAGUAAGAAAAUCCUUCUCUAUUUUGCAAAUUUGACACUGUUUUUCAGAAAAUAUUGAGAACCCUGUAACUUUGUCUUCUGGACGUUCUGCUUUAGUUUUAUUAUUAACAAGAUUAGUUGGUUUUUUUUGGAAAAGUAAGUCUUAUAGAUUGGUCACCCUUUGGAGUUAUUGGAUGUUUCAAAGGAUGCAGAAAAAGUAAGCAUUUUUCUUUUGUUACGAGGCGAAAUUAGUUUUUUUUAGAUUUGUUUUAUGUUGUUUUCCUCGCUCGGUGCAGAUCAUUUGUUCGUUUUCAACGUGUUUAUUUAUAAAAGGUAAUAUUCAGUUUAUUUUUCGCAACGGAACAGUGCUUUUUAGAACACUCGUCAGAAGUGGGAUUAAAAGGACCCCUGUGCUCUUCAGCAAAGACCAUGACGAUCUUCAAUUAAUUUCGUGUAAGAGAAUAUUUUAAGUUUUUUUUUAGAAUAUCACGCCUCGACUGAAGACUGAAAGUUCUUGGGAUAAGUCGAGUUUCAACUUUUUCUUUAUUUAAUCAUUUUGUGAUCGUCUAAGCAGUAAAUCGUAACGUCUAAAAAGUAAAUUUGACAAUAUUUAAAUAAUAAUUUUUAGCAAAUUUCUUUUCGACUAGAAUCGGGAAUUAUCCAAGGCAUCCAAACUUCUUUUUCGGUAACUAACGAUAUUUUUCAGAUUUUUCAAAUUAAAUUGGCAGCAAUUUCAAAACGCUUUAUUUGUUAUUGACUGAUUGCGAUUUAAAUUAGACUAACAGACGGCAGCUUUGAGGCACAUAAGUCUUGUUUUAUAUGUAGCACCGAAAUAUCGUCAGUUUUAGGCUUGCAUUUUUGUUUUGAACUCGUGGACUUGUUUGUUCAAACUGUAAGCAUAAUUUAGCUAUCCUUGUGGCAUGCUGUUUUUUUUUUUGGGGUUUUUCCGAGAAAAAAAUAUUUUGCAGCACGCGUUGAGGCAACAAUUAUUCCCAAGAGACACAUCAGAACUGUAAGCUCGUUUAAACAUAUUGCAAAAACAAAAAACGUAUUUUUUUAGGAGUUUUUCAAAGGUGUGAGGCUCCUUAGGUCAAGCCAUUGUUCCGGAUAUUUUUAUUUAUAGUUUCAUAACUUGACAACCCAAUCCAAGUAAGAUAGUUAUUUUUCCCCGAGAAUACACUUUUUUUUUAGCUCGUCCAUAUGCAAAGGAAAAUAGGAUUGAGAGUUAAAAAAUUAAUCAAAAACCAAAGAGUUGCAGUCGUUCUUUCACUACUUGAGAUGACUAAUAAAAGCCGACUGAAGUAAGAAAAUCCUUUUUUUUCCCAAACCUAACGCUGUUUUUCAGAAAAUAUCGAGAACCCUGUAACUUUGUCCUCUAGACAUUCUACUUUAGUUUUAUUAUUAACAGUAUUAGUUGGUUUUUGAAAAGUUAAUCUCGUGGAUCGGUCGCCCUUAGGAAAAAUUGAUGUUUCAAAGGGGCAGAAUGAGUAAGCAUUUUUCUUUUGUUAGAGGCAAAAUUAGUUUUUUCCAGAUUUGUUUUCCUCGCCUAAUGCAGAUCAUUUGUCCGCUUUCAACGAGUUUAUAUAAGGUAAUAAUAUUCAGUUUAUUUUUUGCAACGGAACAGUGCUUUUUAGGACAUUAUUCAGAAUCCGGGGAUUAAAAACACUUCUGUGCUUUUUAAGCAAGGACCACGACAAUCUUCAAUUUAAUUUCGUGUAAGAGAAUAAUUUUUUUCCAAAAGAAAUUAAUUUUUUUUAGAAUAUCACGCCUCGACAAGACUGAAGGUUUUUAGGAUAAGUUGAGUUUCAACUUUUUCUUUUUUAUCAUUUUGUGAUCAUCUAAACAGUAAAAUAAGAUUUCGUGGCAUUUGAAAAUAUUUAAUAGGACACUUCAGAACAGUAAGCUUGUUUAAACAUAUUGCAAAACAAAAAACGUAUUUUUUAGGAGGUUUUCAGAGGUGUGAGGCCUCUUAGGUCAAGCCUAUUUUUAUCUACAGUUUCUUAGCUUAAACAACAGCCCUAUUCAAGUAAGAUACUAUUUUUUUCCUGAGAAAACAUGUUUUUUUAGUAUGCAAAGGAAAACGAGAUCGAGAGUAUAAAAAAAAUUCAUUAAAAACCAAUAAGAGUUACAGUCAUCCUUUUACUACUUAGAUGACUAAUAAAAGCCGACUGAAGUAAGAAAACUCUUGUGUUUCCGAAACCUAACACUGUUUUUCAGAAUUGUUACUUGAGAGUUAACUUUUCAAUAACGGCAUGCAGACAGUACUAUAAGGCUGAAUCACGAGUAUCGUAAGCAUACAACUUGGUAGCAUGUUGGUGUACUUGCAAUGGCUUGUUUUGGUAGUGUGGAGGGUAGUUCUGCUCCUCAUGGGGAAAUAUAUGUCAUUUUCAGAACGCACUAUCGAAUUGCACAAAACACCGGUCAAUAACGCCCAAUUAAGUCGUCCUGGGAAAUUAGUCCGAUUACGUCCAAUUUUGUCCUUCCAUGCACAUUUUACAGAAACCACUUAUCAAAAGCAAAAUGACAAUCGUUCAACACAAAGUACACUCGACUCCCAAAGAAAGAAAAGGAAACUCGCAAGGUAACUUUCCCCUUUCAGACCGCACGAACCGCCGAAGAAAGUGGAUUUGGUCACGGCUGCGAGUCGAAAACCACUCGGUUCCUUUGGGUGAAAGUUUCGUUUCGCAUGAGGCAUUCCCGAGCUCAGAAGGCAGGCAAACUUCGCGAUUCGGGACUUUUCACCCCCCCCUUCGUUGAGGAGGAGCUUUGGUUAUCGGAUCGCAGCUCUGACAAUCCGAAGCGGAUUGAAUUAAUGGAGUAAAUUUUGUUUAAAAAAAAAAAGGGUAUGUGUAUGGCGACGGAGGUAGAGUAAGGAUGUGCCUUUAUUUUAAUAUGUAUUAAAAAAAGUAACGUAAGAGGUUAACGAUUGUUUACUCACGACGAAAAUUGACUGGUGUUGGGAUACGGCCGAGGCGGCAAAUAUUACAGAAGUUGCAUUCAAUAGAGCCCUCCCCAAUAGGCCCAAACAUUCAAUUAAACGGUUGGGGUUGCUCCACACAUUAAAAAAAGUAGUAGACCGAUGGCUGGAACUCCACUAAAGACCACAUUUCACUAUUCAAGGAAACGUUGGCAAUGCAUCGUUUAUAUUAUGGAAUUUGGAACGGCCAGUCGCUACUAACCAGAACAAGAGAGAUGGACUAAUGAAAGUUUUGACUGCAAUGCUAGCAUAUCAAAAGAGACGGCCUCUGGAUCAUCAAGGACCGACUGCGAGGGAUCAUGGAUUAGAUUUCCUCUUAGGUCCCUCAUAAGGGUUUCUCGACGACACAAAGAACCGGGAACUGCUAACGGAGACGAUGGGAUCACCAGGAUGGGAGGCCGAUUCGAAGGACUACUACGACAUGAGACCCCUUUGGAAGGACAAUUGGAGGGAGUACCUAGAAAACCGGACGAUCGGCCUACUUCGAGGGAUGGACGAGCAAUGGGACUACUUGGAAGAACAGAAAAUUGGAUCACCUUCAAAGGAGGGACAAUGGGACAUCCAAUAGAGGACACUAAGACCGCCUAGAACACGGACAGACAAUACUUUGACGCUUGAAGGACGAUUAUGGAUCACCUAGGAUAGACAACGGGACAUUCCGAGAGAGGACAAUAAGACUAUCUGGAAGACGGACAACGGGAUCAACCGACAGCACGGUGUCCGUGUUUCACGCCUUUGUGGGACGAAUAUUGGAUCUUUUAGGAUGGACAACGGGACAUUCCAACAGAGGACUUGAAGACCGCCUGAAAGACGGACAAUCGGAUCAACAUCACGGAAGAACACUUUCACGCUUGAGGGACUAACAUUGGAAAAGCCUACGAUGGACAAUGAGGGACCACCUUGAGGGACGAAUGAGGGAUUACUACAUAGGAGACGUGACGAGAUGGUUGCAACCUAGGAGGGACAGUUGGGCAACCUGGAACUGGACCACCCAAUAGGACACUGAAGGAUUACCUAGAAGAUCGGAUAUGACGGAUAAUAGCUCUUCAAGGACAAAUAAGGAUGGACCUGGGACGGACUAGAAGGUUACUUUGGACAGAUGGUGGGACUAUGUGGAAGGACUACCUAGGACGGACAAUGGGACGACCUGGAGAGGCAGAAAGGACGGACAAUGGGACGACGUGACGGGAUAAUUGCUUUAUCUUAAAAGAAGACUAACGUUGGAAAUAUCGCAAAAGGACGACAGACAAUGGAAGGAGGAAAUUGGAGCUUCUUAGGACGGACGAUGGAUUUGGAUGGACAGUGGGAUCACCUGGAAGGACGGACAAUGCGGAUUACCGAAGAGGACUGACUGACUUGACGAUGGGCGAGAUUUAAAGGACGAAGGACAAUAGGAUAGGGGACAAUCGAGGAAGACUACCCAGAAGAAAGGAGGAAAAGCAAUUAGACCACUCAACAGAGUAAAGGAGGACAUUUGCAAGGACUAUCUGGAGGCUCCCUGAAAAGGCCGUUGGACGACCUGGAAGGAUUUUGAGAGGAAAGAAACGCAUUUUUAUAAUGAACACUUGACUAUACUUCAAGGCAGUAUGGAGAUACAGCUUUGGACAUCGGAGACAAGAAUCGAGAUCAUUGCAACUAACCGAAGACCAUCGUAGGACCAUAUCGCAGAUCGAGAACUUGGAAGGAGAUCUUCAUGACGAGGAUACACCAGGAAAACUACUACUAGGAAGAGGACGACGUCGAGAUCGGCGAACCAGGAGGAAGCGAGACCGGAAUUUCCCGCGAUACAUUUCGGAGUUUCUGUGGUUUACUGAGAUCUAAAUUGUGUUAUUCUCAACACAAACGUUUAGAUUUGCUAGACGACUGAAAUUCCGCAUAUUGUAUCGGAAGUGAUGCGCUCUUUGAGGAUUCUGUGGCUGUCGUAGGCGACUGAAACCUCUAGAGGGCGUUGCUGCCGCGGCGGUUACACUUUUUGGGGAUUCUGUGGUUUGUGGAAAUGGAUCGGUUAACGAGGGACCGAUUCGUUUCCGAGUUGGAACGACUGAAACCCCAAUUGGUGUAAUUGCGGAGGAGACCAGGGAGGAGAUAGAUGCAGACGAGGUAUCAGAUUUUAAAGCCAACUAACUAAUAUUUCUAGCCGUCCGCCCGAAUAGCGUUGAAGAGCCUUACGCGAUUUUUAACAGAUGCACGGUUUCGCGAUUGAUUGAUUACUUACUACUCUGACGCGACGUUCAAAUCGUACAAAAGCGGAGCCCUCAUCGGAUGACGAUACUCGUGCGGAAGAAGUUAAGAAAUUAGCCUACAACAUCGAUUGGGAAAGGAGAAUCCAAUUUUCGUGAGGGACGCGUGGUUGAAAUUGAUAAAACGGCGAAUGCGAUACGGGCUGAAGGGCGGUGACGGAACGCAUGAUAUGGGGAGGGGGGCAACCUAUUAAGACGGCGAAGCAUUUUCAUCGGCCAUCGGUGGUUUACGGCAGGGACGGGACAGCGUGGAAUGCCACGAUCACUCACAGGAACUCCUGCAAGGUUUCUCGCCACAAAGAACCGGGAAUUAUUCACGGAAGUUAUCAGAUCACCAUGAUGCGAGGCCGAUUUGAGGGACGACUGCAAUACAGGAUAAUUGGAGGGAGAGUAUACCUGGAGAACGGGACGACAGGCUUACAUAGGAGGCAUGGACUAGUUAGGACAACCCGGAACCGAGGGAAAAUUGUCAUCACCUAGGAUGGACAAUGGGACAUUUCAAGGGAGGACAAUAAGACCGCCUGGAAGGCGGACAGCCGGAUCAAUGGAAUGAACAAUACUUUUAGGCUUGAAGGACGAACAUUGGAAAAGCCUACGCUGGACAAUGUGGGACCAUCUAAGGGACGAAUGCGAUACGGGCAAAAGGGCGAUGACGGGACGAUCUAGUAAGACGGCGACGCAUUUUCAUCGGCCAUCGGUGUUUUACGACAUGGAAGGCGACGAGCGGGUAUUCUGCGCCUACGGAUCACUGGAGUCGUCGUGGAACACGGGUCGGAACAUACUGGACGCGCAUUGCAUACGUCACGGGACUACUGGAAUUCCUACUGAGUACGAUCGGCGAUUACGAACUGCCACAAGACGACGAGGGCGGAUGGAAUUAAUUUUUGGGGUGACGGCGGUACCCGUGACUCAUUACGAAGGAAAAUGAACGAUUCGGCCUCUGGUGACCGACGAGUGUUUUUCUGCGUCGCUUGAGGCUUUUUUUUUAAACCGUUCGAGCGAAGGCGUACGUACACGAUCGUCGUGACGCAGGAACGCACUGUAAUGGGUGUCGAGCUGAAUCGUUUGUUUUUCUUACGUUUAAUGGUACGGGGGGGUCGAUGGUGCUGGUACCACGUGUGUAACGUACGAGGGGGCGGCGCACCCUGAAACCGGAUCGGGAGACUGUAGAAGAAAGUAGCGCAAUUGGAAUUGGAAGUCUAGGAGUUUACAAAUGAAGAAAUUGGUUGCACUCGACUAGGACCGACACUGCGAACCUAAAGCCGCUUUUCUAUUCCAAGUUUUUCAUGUUUUUUUUUCUUUUCAGUUAAAUAAAUGUAUUGAAAUUA
Molecule: long non-coding RNA, 10862 nt
Organism: Anthonomus grandis grandis
Lineage: Eukaryota; Metazoa; Arthropoda; Insecta; Coleoptera; Curculionidae
Exons: 14
Source: RefSeq, a predicted model, not a curated record